GAUGAAGAACGCAGCAAAGUGCGAUAAGUAAUGUGAAUUGCAGAAUUCCGUGAAUCAUCGAAUCUUUGAACGCAAAUUGCACUUUCUGGUAUUCCGGAGAGUAUGCCUGUUUGAGGGUCAGUGUAAUAAAUAAAUCGUGGUUGUUACCACCUUUCGUGGUGACGCUUCGGAAUUGAGUCCUCUUACCCUUCGGGUUAAGUGACUUAAAAUUUUUUCAUACGAUUUCGAAACGUAUUUAAUGUAUUAUGUACGUUCACGAAUAUCGAAUGUUUAUUAGGUGCGGUCAUUUUUCAUGAAUUCGCGUCUAUAAUUUUUUUUUUUUGACCUCAAAUCAGGUAAGAAUACCCGCUGAACUUAAGCAUAUCAAUAAGCGGAGGA
This 378-nucleotide unclassified non-coding RNA is filed under the name soil metagenome. Its description in RNAcentral is "partial contains 5.8S ribosomal RNA, internal transcribed spacer 2, and large subunit ribosomal RNA". The stretch from base 1 to 120 matches the Rfam family "5.8S ribosomal RNA", at positions 35 to 154 of the family's 154-position model. The record is from RNAcentral.